AAUUAAGAAGCAAUAUGCAUUCAGUUUCGACCUGAAAGAUAGGUAGAUUCAAUACCCUUAAUUA
RNAcentral lists this transfer RNA (64 nucleotides) under Tarbinskiellus portentosus. RNAcentral's name for it is "tRNA-Arg". Lineage: Eukaryota; Metazoa; Arthropoda; Insecta; Orthoptera; Gryllidae. RNAcentral also lists the same sequence under 1 other name. The record is from RNAcentral.